This 301-nucleotide ribosomal RNA is filed under the name uncultured bacterium. RNAcentral describes it as "partial 16S ribosomal RNA". It matches the Rfam family "Bacterial small subunit ribosomal RNA", at positions 509 to 807 of the family's 1533-position model. The record is from RNAcentral.
CAGUAGCCGCGGGAAUACGAAGGGUGCAAGCGUUACUCGGAAUUACUGGGCGUAAAGCGUGCGUAGGUGGUGGUUUAAGUCCGUUGUGAAAGCCCUGGGCUCAACCUGGGAAUUGCAGUGGAUACUGGGUCACUAGAGUGUGGUAGAGGAUAGUGGAAUUUCCGGUGUAGCAGUGAAAUGCGUAGAGAUCGGAAGGAACAUCUGUGGCGAAGGCGACUAUCUGGGCCAACACUGACACUGAGGCUCGAAAGCGUGGGGAGCAAACAGGAUUAGAGACCCCGGUAGUCCCUGUCUCUUAUAC